AUGUGUACUAAAGACCGUAGAACAUGCUGGAACAAAAACUAAGCUCUAGAUACCAAAUUUAAGAAAAGACUAAUGAAAUUAAAAAAAUUAUAUUAAGAUUUUUUUUCUUACUAUGCUAAAAAUAAAAUGUCACUAAUGAAAUAUGUCAAUGCAAUAACAUUGAACUAAUUAUUUACUAAUCUUGGAUGAACAGUUUUUGUAUUACUAAACGGAUAUACGACAUAAUGGUGUCUUGUAAAUUGACAUACAUCAUACUUGAAGAGUCUUUGAAAAAUAAAGGAAACAUAAACAUUAAAACAUAAAAAGAUAUAUGUCUUAAACAACAAAAGAGGACUCGAAAGUAGUGUAAGACAGGAGUCAAAAGGUAAUCAUUUAUCGUCUAGUACUAUCCUUGCUUCUCAAGACUUCAAGGCAAUACAAUCUUCCCUGUUCCUCAACAAUUUCAAUUGUCGUCUUUGUGACAAGAUCCUAAAAAAUACAAUAAGGAAGAAAAAAGGUUACAAAACAACUUAGGUCAUUAAACAUAAAUACGGUUAUUACAAAGUUUUAGAACAUGAAAGAUAUCUUUAAAGUUGAGAGAUGAAAAAAAGAUAAAUAUUGUUAUGUCCGGUUAUUGUGGUAGGAAUGUCUUGGCAAUAUUAAUAUGAUUACUAGAAAGAGAAACAUACAGUAUUAAAAAAGACGAAUGAAGGCUCAUAUGGUUUGUCACGCCAAAGUGUAACUCGAGUUUUUACAUGUAGUUUUAGAAACAUCAUCUAUGAAAAAACCCUUUUAUCAAUAGUCAUAUAUAUAGCAUCAAACACACUAUUAUCUGAAAGGGUUUAAUUUCAAAUAUAAAUGGAAAUAUACUAUUUAUUCUUCAAAAGAUGUCAAAGAUUAACAAAAGCAUGAUAUUGAGCAAGAAUUUGAACUAUUUUGCAAUAACUAUACGUUGUCUGAUAUACAAAGAUCAAAAUAUUUGCUUGAGAUAAAAGAUUGGCUUUGCAACAAAUACUUUCUAAAGUCUAUAAAAGAAAGAAGAUGCAAACACAAUAUAAAAUCUGAUCAAGCGAAAAGAUUAUGUGAUUAUACCUUUUAACCUUUGAGAGAAAACAAUUAUAAUAUCCAUGAAGUUACAUUCUCAACAAUUAGUGUUUCAUUAGAUAUAAUUUUUGUAAUCCUAUGAUGUUUCAUCAAACAUAUUUUUUAUCGUAAUCAGGACUCGUGAAAGCUAGUGUGGAAAUAUUCAUUCCUGAUAAAUGGUCAAAGUGUUGAAAUGUUGUGAAAUUGAAACUAAUUUGGUGAAAGUCUUUAAACUUCCGAGAAAAAUUCUAAUGAAAGAAGUAUUAAGUACAUGACUAGUAAUGUCUCUUGUCGGGUACUUUAAAAAUUCUUCUAAACAGUUUGACAAGCACAAAGAAGUUAAGAUGUUUAAUCUAAUGAUACGCAACUAAGACGUGGACCAUAAUAAAGACUAAGAACAACACUGAAUAGAAAUUCACCUAUGAAUGAUUCUCUAAGCUUAAGUCACUAAAUAACCAAGUGAGUAAUGACAUAAAAAUAAAUUAGUAUUGACAAAGAGUUGAAGUAAUUGUUUAUCAUAUACAUAGAUAUAUAAUCUUUUAUAACUUUAUUUUUUAGGCAAUAAUAUUUUAAAGACAAUAAGACAUAAGUGAAUUAUUAGGCUUUAUCUCAUAGUAGUUACUAAGUUGUUAAUAGUAAUUAGUUUAUAUAAUAUCAAGUAUAUUAUUACAAAAGACACAUGUACGCAAUUAUUUUAUCAAGAUAGUUGAUUAUUCACUUGUACUAAUUGAUUACUUACUACAAAUAAUCUACUAUUUACGAAUGAACAUGUUUUUAAUUACUAAACUAAUUUAUUAUUUUAAUUGAUGAUCAAUUAUCAAUCUCUAUUGUUCUUAAAUUUAACAUUCACAAUUUGACUCAUUAACAUACUUUGCUCCCAAUUUUUUUUUUCAAAUAUUUUCAGAAGUGCGUGUGGUCAGGCAUCAAAUAAUAUGAAACUCGUUCUCAUCUACAAUAUCAAAUGCACAUAUCAUAAACAAUCCAACAUAAAAUGCAACAACAUACAACCUAAUAAUAUAACAAUAAGAUCCACAUUAACAAAGCUAACAAUAAGUACUUCAGGGGAAUUUCUAAAAUAACUCCAGGUUCAAACAUAAUUUCUAUCGACUAAAUGAGAGAAUAUUCAACCUAACUUGUCCAAAAACAGUGAGAAACUAAUUUCAUCAAUCUACCAAAAUAAACUUUUGACAUGAACUAAAGCAAUUUGGAUCAGCACAAUUUUGAAUUAAAUACCGAACAAAGUAAACAACAGAAAUUCAAGUACACGAAUAAGAUUCAAGUUGUUGUCAUUCUGUGAUUUAAGUUAAAGAAAAUGGCGACCACCAUAAGUAAAUGAAGGUUCCAUUAGAAACCACACCAACCAAUUCUGUUAGUAAUUGCGACCUUCCAUCUGCUAGCUAUAAUGCUUUCUUGGCACAUAAAAAAUGUGCUUAUUCUCGUUAGAUCUUCCAAAUCAAGCAUUGUAACAUUAAUAAAAGUUAAUCACCAGUAUAAAUUGCAGUAAUAAUUGCUUUAGAUACAAAUUUACAAGAGGGAGCAAGCUAGUCAAGGGGAGAAAACCAACGCUAAAUACUGCUUACAAAUUUAGCUCGUAAUCUCUUAAAAUAUUAUCAAAUUAGUUUUCUCAUGAAUAACUGAUAUUUUUUACUUUAAUUUACAAGAGUACACUCCAUGUACACUUUGUCUUACUACAAAGGAAGCCUCAAAACAAAUGGCUAGAAGCAUCCUUCCCAUCCCCCACAUCUAUGACAGUGCCUCAGCUAAAACAUUCAGCAGAUACAAGAAACACCGCGCAAGAUUUAUCUCCCAUUCAUUUGAUUCAAAAAAACAUUGAAAUCUCAACACUAAAUUUCAGUAAUGAAUACCCGCUUAAUACUUUUUCACUUACUCGAUUAAAAGAAAACCAAAAAACUUCUCAUAAAUUUAAAUUUUGGUUCACAACUACAAUUGCGAUCACGUUGUCAUUGUGGAAUUGCUCACAACAGCAACUUUCCACAAUUGCUAAACGAAUUUAAAUCACAAAAAAUCAAUGCAUUCGCAACUUUGUAAUGCAACCACAACAAAGUGGCAAAAGAAAAUCAACACCAUUUUAUUUCAACAUUUUAUAAAAGAUACAAAUUCAAAUUUCAAUCUUCUUUUCUAACUACUAAAUGCUAGUGGUUGAAUGAGUGCUACCGUGUCAGAUGUUGAAAGAAUGCGAAGGCACUUCUGGAUGGUUCCUUGGGAAGCUACAUGAUUCAUUGACGAAUAAUUGUAAAAAGAUGCAUCAAUAGUUAAAAUAAUUGUAUAUUUCUUUUUCUCUGUUAUUUAUGUGCAAACAUAUAAUAAGUUCAUACAGCUGCAGCAGCUGCAAUGAACAAUCCAGCAGCACAAUACCCGAAAUUUAGAACCAAUUCCAAUCCAAGAAUACUAUUAAAACAAACAAUAAUUAAAGAAAAUUGAGACAAAAAUCUCACAAUAGUCAAAUAAAACCGAAGUACAUUUAAUAACCAAACACAAUUAUCAUAUUAACACGAAAAUUCAAAAAAUAGAGUACAACAUGUCCUUUUAUUUAUUUUUCGAUUCCCUUCACCAUCACAGAGAGGAAAGCACAAGAUAAAGAAGCCCUAACCCGGAAAUUAUUUAACCCUUACGUAAUGAUUAGUUGAUAUCAGCAUCAUCGAAAUCGUCUUCGAAGUUGUUGAAGAAAUUCACAUCGGCAAGUUUGAGGUCGGCGGUGAUGACACCCUCGGCGAAGGUCUCGAGAGGGUCGACGUCGUCGACAUCCAUCGCCAUUGACGACACUUGCUCAUCCAUCUCCCCGAAUAGUUCCAUUGCUCUCAGCAUCUUCUCUCACAUACACUCUCUGAAAAAUUACACCCCUGAAAUUAGGGUUUUUUAUAUAUAGAAUGUUUCUUAUUAUAAAUAUAAUAUUGUCAUUUUAUAUAAUAUUAUUAUAUUAAAUGUUUAAAAAAUUAAUAUUUUGGAAAUGGCUAGACAAAAUUAAAUUAUAAUAGUUUAAAACACGAUUCGAAUUUGUUUUAAAGAUUAAGUGGAAUCUAUUUUUAAAUUCAUUUUUUUCUGCAUCAACUUUGAACCAAAGGUAAGAGUUGAAUUGAAUCAUAUUCAUAAUUUUAAUUAUAUUUAUAAUAUACAAAAACUAGAUGUUAGAAAAAUUACAAAAAAAAUAUUAACCUAAUGAAAAUUUAUAUUAAAAAUAAACAUUCACUUAAAGGAAAAGUAUAACAUCUACAAAUUCAAAUAAAUAUGCCGAGUACAUAUAAUUUGGCUGACACACGAGUCAAGAUUAAAAACUUUCGUGGAUCAUAAAGUUCACAUAAGAAAAAAAGUAUUUAAAAAUGAAAAUGAAAAAGAAAAAUUAAACACAUAAAAAACAUUCAUUCGAUCUAAUUCCAUAUUCUAUGCAAACAAAGUCUAAUUGAAUUUAGGUAAAGAUAAAUUAGUAUGAUAUAAUUAAGGUUUAAUCAUUUCAGACAUUCUUAUUUCUACAUGAUCGUCUCUGAAUAGGUCCUUGUAUUGUAAAUGUUCUCAAUUAGGUUUUUUAUUGUGAAAAAUUGAAUUAAUUUAGACUUCGUGUUAGUUUCGUAUUAACACUGUGGUUUUUUUGAAUUUUUUAAUUAUUUUUAUUUUUUAUUUAUUUUUAAUUUUUUUAAACAAUAAAAUAAAAAAAAAUGUCAUGUGUAAAACUGAUAUUGUACCACGUGGCAAUGACAGUGUGACAUGAUACUGAUAGUGCCAUGUGUCAUUGUCACACCACGUAUCAUUGCAUUAGUCUCAAUCUGGUCCCAAUAUUAUGAAAGAAGAAAUUACCUUUAAUUAUCGUAUUCAAGAAAAUUUUCUCUAAUUUUUUAUAUUAAAAAAAUUUGAAAAAUUCACACCACCAUGUUAUGUCACUGUUUUAACCCUUAUAGGUAUAUUUAAAUAACAUAAUAUGAUUAAGUAAAUAUAAAUAUAAUUAAACUUAAUCAUGUUAAAAAUAUUUAAUAAAAAUAUCAGUUUUAUUUAAAAUAUUUGUUAAGAUUUAUAUAUAAUUUAAAUUUUGUUUGAAUUUAAGGAGGGACAAAAAUUUUUAAUUUUUAAAAUUAAGACUAAAUCGAGACAAAAUAAAAAUACAUGUAUCAAAUUGAGACACAAUAAAAAUACAGGAACCAAAUUGAGACUAAUGCAAUGACAUGUAGCCUAACAAUGACACGUGGCACUGUCGGUGCCAUAUCACAUUGUCAUUGCCACGUGGCAUAAUAUCAGUUUGACACAUGGCAUUUUUUUUUAUUUAAAAUAAAUAAAUAAACAAAAAAUAAAAAUAAAAAUAAUUCAAAAAUUCAAAAAAAUCACGAACUGACACGUGUCACCUCCUUUAACGGUGUUAAUACGGAACUAACGACGAGGUCUAAAUUGAUUCAUUUUUUCACAAUAAGGGAUUUAAUUGAGAGCAUUUACAAUGCGAGGACCUAUUUGAUUCGAUCCUGCAAAAAUAGGGAUGUCCGAAAUUAAUAAACCUAUAAUUAAAAGAUAAUUAACAGAUUGAGAUGUUAAACUUGAUAUGUUUUUAUUGGGUUAGACUCAUGUUUAAAAAGUUAUGUCUCGUUUAGAUAAUGUUGAGUUAGGUAGGAAUAAGUUUCUUCGAGUUGGUCUUAAGUUAGAAUGGAUAAAGUUAGAUUAUGCUCAAAUCAAGUAGGUUGCUUCAGUUUGAUCAAGGUUAAGUUAGGUCCAGGUCAAAUUAAGGUUUAUGAAAUAGUGAAGAGAUGAGGAGAAAUCUCCCUUUUGUUAAAUACACACAUAAGGUUCUCUAUUUAUAAUAGAAGAAAUAUGGGCUAAGCCCAAAAUACAAAUAAGAAAUAAUAACAAACUAACUAACAAAUAAAAGAUAAGGAUAAAAGAUAAAUAUAAAAUAAAGAUAAUAUAUCUAACACUCCCCCUCAAGCUGGUGCAUACAAAUCGUAUGUAGCAAGCUUGUUACAAAUCGGUCCCCGUAAAGACUUAGUGAAAAUAUCUGCUAAUUGAUCCCUUGAAUUUACGAAUUCAGUCUUAAUAUCUCCAGAUACAAUCUUCUCUCGAAUGAAAUGACCAUCAAUUUCAAUGUGUUUGGUCCUCUCAUGAAAGACAGAAUUAGAACUAAUAUGAAGAGCAGCCUGAUUGUCACAAAUAAGCGUCAUUUGCGUGACAUCUCCAAAUUGUAACUCUCUAAAAAAUUGCUUAAGCCAAACAAGUUCAGAAGUGGCUGAAGCCAUAGCUCUAUAUUCUGCUUCUACACUAGAUCUUGCCACAACACUCUGUUUCUUGCUUUUCCAAGAGAUCAAGUUACCACCAAUAGAGACAUAAUAUUCGGAUGUAGGAUCUUCUAUCAGAAGGAGAUCCUGCCCAAUCAACAUUAGAAUAACAAACCACUCUUGUAUGGUUACUAGAACCAUAUAACAACCCUUUUCUAGGAGAUCCUUUAAUGUACUUUAAUAUACGAAUAACUGCAUUCCAAUGAUCUUCACAUGGGGAAUUAAGGAAUUAGCUUACCACACUAACUGCAAAGGAAAUAUCAGGACGAGUAACUGUAAGAUAAUUCAAUUUUCCAACUAGUCUUCUAUAUUUCUCGGGAUCUGACAUAGGCUCCCCUUGUUUUGGUAGAAGUUUAGUAUUAAGAUCCAUGGUUGUGUCCACAGGUUUUGAAUUCAUUAACCUAGUUUCCUCCAAAAUAUCUAGUGCAUAUUUCCUUUGAGAUAUAACAAUACCAUCAUUGGAUUGUGCCACCUCAAUACCCAAGAAAUAUUUAAGUUUGCCAAGAUCUUUGGUCUAAAAAUGGUUGCAAAGAUGUUGUUUCAUCUGAGAGAUACCAUGACUAUCACUGCCUAUAAGAACAAUGUCAUCAACAUAUACUAUCAAGUAGACAGAUCCAACACUUGAGUGAUGGUAAAAGAUUGAAUGAUUCGUCUCACAACGAGAAAUACCAAAUUGUUGAACAACAUCACUAAAUUUUCCAAACCAGACCCUAGGAGAUUGUUUUAGGCCAUAUAAGGAUUUGCGAAGACAACAUACCAACCCAAAAGACUCCCCUGAGCAACAAAUCCUGGAGGCUACUCCAUAUAAAUUUCUUCUUGCAAAUCUCCGUUAAGGAAUGCAUUUUUGACAUCCAAUUGAUAAAGAGGUCAUUGUUGAAGAGCCGUCAUGGCUAUAAAUAAAGGAAUAAAUGUCAUUUUUGCCACUGGAGAAAAAGUAUCACCAUAAUCCAAACCAAAAAUUUGAGUAUAACCUUUAGCCAUAAGACGAGCUUUGAGGCGAUCAAUAGUUCCAUUGGGACCAACUUUGAUAGCAAAAACCCACCUACAACCAACAACAGAUUUCCCAGAUGGUAAUGGGCCAAGCUCCCAAGUUCCAUUAUGCUGAAGAGCACUUAGUUCAUUUAGCAUGGCUUGACGCCAACCAGGAUGGCAUAGGCAUCAUUAAUAGAUUUCGGGAUUGCCACAGAAGAAAUAGAAGAAAGACAUGUAUAAAAAGGUGAAGACAGUCUAUGAUAACUUAAAGCAAGAUAAUGUGGAGAGGGAUUACGGGUAGAACGUAUACCUUUUCGAAGGGCAAUUGGAAAGGUAGACUCAGUUGUCGGAACCGGAGGAGACAAGGCAGUUCACACUUCAAUUAAGUCACUUGGUGGUUGUUGAGAAACAACUAGUGAACUAGGCACAACAACAGGAAUAUUGAUAGUAUUAGAAGGAGACAUAUCAGAAGAAGAAUGAUCAUUAAAAUAAAAGGAAGACUCAUUGAAGGUGACAUCUGCAGAUAUAAAAUAAUGAUUAAGAGAAGAAGAAAAACCUUGUAUCCUUUCUUUGAUUUAGUAAAGCCUAAAAAAACACAUUUGUGUGAUCGAGGAGCUAACUUAUCAAGACUAGGACCAAAAUUAUGAACAAAACAUGUAGACCCAAAAACCUUUAGAGGUAAUGGGUGAAGACUUUCAUGAGGAAAUAAAAUAGAAUAAGGUAUUUUAUUUUCUAAAACAGAAGAAGGCAUGCUAUUAAUGAGAUAACAUGCAGUAAGAACAACAUCACCCCAAAAAUAUUGAGGAAUGUUACCAUGAAUUAAAAAAGUACGAGUUGUUUCAAUAAGAUGUCUAUUUUUACGCUCAGCCACCCCAUUUUGUUGAGGUGUAUAAGCACAUGAAGUUUGGUGAAGAAUACCAUGAGAAGCCAUAAAUUGUUGAAAAGAGUGGGAAAGAUAUUCACGACCAUUAUCAUUAUGCAAAAUUUGAAUAGAAACACCAAACUGAGUUUUAAUUUCAUUAUAAAAAGUUUAAAAAUGAUACAAUAACUCAGAACGAUUUUUCAUUAAAAAUAACCAAGUACAUUUAGAAUAAUCAUAAUAAAGGUAAUGAAGUAUUGAAAACCUAAAUUAGACUUAACACGACUAGGUCCCCAAAUGUCAGAAUGAAGUAAGGCAAAAGGAGACGAAGCACGUUGUGAGACACUACGAGGAAAGGAACUACGAAUAUGUUUUCCUAAUUGACGUGACUCACAGACCAAAUUGGACAACUUGGAUAAGCUAGGAACAAGUUGUUGUAGUUUGGCAAGACUGGGAUGACCUAACUGAGCAUGAAGAAGAGAUGGAGACUCCAUAACUGUCCCAAUAUGUAUAGUGGGGCGAAGAUGAUAAAAACCAUGAGACUCACAUCCGGUGCCAAUCACCUGUCUCGAACUCCGAUCCUAUAAACAAACAAAAUCUUUGUCAAAAGAAAUAUCACAAUCAAGAGAACGAGUUAGAUGACUGACAGAUAAUAAGUUAAAAGGAGACCCAGGGACAUAAAGAACAUUAUCAAUGGAUAAAAAAGGAAAAAUGUUAACAAUCCCAACACCAUGAGCUAAACCUCUAAAUACAUCAGCCAUUGUAACAAAAGGUAAAGGAUUCGAAGAGGACAAAGAGAAAAACAAAGAUUUGUUACCAGUAAUGUGAUUUGUGGCUUCCGAGUAAAAAACUCAAGAGUCAAAAGAAGAAGAUGGACUCAGACCAAUAAAAGAUGUACUUGUGUGUGCUACAGAUGCAGUGGAACUAGAAGGUUGUUGGUCCUUAUACCAUUUGAGAAAUUUACUGAAAAUAACAGAGUCAUCACUAAUAUUAAAUGAAGGAGGAUCCCCAGUAGGUGAUUGUGACGAAGAAGUAGUUUGAACAAUUGCAGCAUAUCUAGGAGGGCGACCAUGUAAUGCAUAAUACCUGUCAAUAAUGUGACCUACCUUGCCACAAUGGUUACACUUGAGACGUCCUUUUCCUGGUUUGUGAGAGUGAUUGCGGUCAUGAUGUUGAGAUGCCAACGUAGAGGAAACAUAUGUAUCAUUGAUGGGUCUACUAGGUACAAGCAAAAAAGUGGAACAAGUAGAAGUCAAAGUGGGGACAACAGGUGAACCCAAAAUCUGAUCACGAACAUGAGAAUACUCAUUAGAAAGGUCGUGCAAUGCUAGCAGCAUGAAUAACUUUGACCGUUACUCUAUUUCUUUGGCAAGAGUAGAAGCAGGAGACAAUAAUUCAUUAAACUCAUGAAAAAGAGCAUGAAUUUUAUCCAUAUAAUCAGUCAUAGAGUCCUGACGCCGAGGAGCAAGAACAAUGAGAAGAUCAUGACAAACACCAUAAAGACGUUGAGUAUCAUUGGUGUAUAAUAAUUUAAUGUGUUCCCAGAUUUCAAAACAUGUUUCGUAGGAACGAAAAAUUUAUUUUAAAGAGGAAUGAAGGGCACCCUUGAGAACAAUGCAUAACUGAGCAUCAACUUUCAACCAAUGGUAACUGCAGCGGAAUCAAUAGUUGUCACAUUCUGAGUAAUAUGAUCAAGAUACCCUUAACUCUUAAGCCAAAGUUUAACAUCUGAUGCCCAAGUCGCAUAAUUAGAGUUUGGGUUUACGUUAAGUGAGUAGAGUCAAGCAUAUGUUAGAUUCAUAUCAAGCUGAGUCAAGUUAAGUUCAUUUUGGGUCCACCUUGGGCUCAAUCAAAUCGAACCCACCUUGAGCUGAGUUAAGUCAGAUCCAUGUUAGGUCUAGUUAAGUAUAAUUGUGUUCAUGUUAGGUCAAAUAAAAUUGAUCCACCUCAAGCUAAGUCUAAUCGAGUUUGCAUCAUGUUAUGUCUUAAUAGAGCCACAUAGGGAUAAGUCAUGCUAGGUCCUCAUUGAACCAAAUUGAAUUAGAAAAACUCAAGUUGAGUGGAGUCGAACAUGUUUGAAUUGCACCUCCUUCAACCAAAUCAAAUUUAAUCACCUCAUAAAAAAUAAUCUAAUCCAUUUUUAACUAGUUAACGCAGUUUGAAAACACAAUAAAGAAAUAUAACAAAAACUCAACAGAAAAUCCAAAUUCAUCAUUAACCAUCUUUAUAAAAUAAAAUAUGAGCCAUGUUGUUAUGAUUAAAGAUAAAUAAAAUUAUAGUGUAUUAAUUAACCUUUAUCUUUUAUAAAGUUAACAAUUUAUCUUUUGAUACAAAUUAAUUCAUAAGAUAUUUGAGUUAGAAUUUGAGUAUCUCAAAUGCAGGACUAUUGAGAUAUAUUAUUUAAGAGUAUUUUUGACCAUUUCAUUAAUUAAGAAUUAAAUAUAAAAUUAGUUGAGUUAGUAAUCAGCUUAAUAUUUUUAUUAUUGUACUUACAAUUCUAAGUGUUAUAUACAGACGUGAAGUGCUUUUUUUACUUUUAAUCGUGAGUAUGUUCUACGUAAACGAGUCUUAGGUUAGAAAACCAUAAAACUACAGGAGCUUUAAUAUUCUCAAACAUAUAUCUUAAGUUAUAAUACCAUGAAUUACAACAAAAUAUGAAAACAUUCCAAAAAAAAUAAAAAAAAGAAAAUGUUUUAUUAAUUUUUAUAAUUUAGAAGGAAUGUCAAUUUAAAUUCUUUAUAUAAUAAAUAAAAUUUUUGAUAACUGUUAUUAAUUUAAAUUACACUUACAUUUUUAAUAUUAACAUUAAUUUCAAUAAUUAAAAAAAUUAAUUAUGAAUUUUAAAAUAGUAUACACUAUUAAACUAGUAUUUUUUUAAAAACUAAUAUAAAAUCAGAUAAAAAUCAAUAUUAUUAUUGUUAUUAACAGUGUUAGCAUAUGCUUAUAUAAAUAUUUAUUAUUAUUAAUUUUAUUUUAUAAUGCUUUCAAUAAUUGAAAAUCUUAAAAUAACUAUUAAUUUAUAUUAUUUAUAAAUUUAAAAUAUUUUCAAAUAUUAAAAAUAGUUCCCAAUCAUUUUAAACAUUUUUUUGUGCUUAUUUUUAUUAAAUCAUGAAAAAUAUCUUAAUAGUUUUUAUAUUAUAAAUAAUUUAUCAAUAAAAUAUUUAUAACUUUUUUUAUAUCUUUAUAUCAAUCUAACUGAAUAUAUAAAAUGUAAAAAAAGUAAUGGAGUUAAUUCUGGUAAGUAAAGUUAAUGGAGUGCUAUUUAGGUAUUUUGUUGUAAGAUAUGAACUUCUUAAUCUCUUUGACCUAAUUUUUCACCAUUUUCUCAAUGUGUUCUCAGAGGUUUCUUUCGAGAUUCCUGGCCUCUUUUCCUGUAAACACUGAACAUCUUCAACUCGCUCAUAACAUAACCCAAAGCCUUCUCAACUCCACCUAUUUCAAACCUCACUCUGUGAUCCCAUGCAUCGCACCUCAAAUCACUUACUAUGUUCUCUCAGACCCAUCUCUUCCGCCUCGCUCCUGCUUAUCCUUCUUCCACUUCCUCGCAACACAAAACCCCCAAAAACCAGACCUCAAAGCCCACCUGAUCCUCCUCUAUAGGCUCUUUUCAGCAAAACAAUUUGCAUCAAUGAGAACCCUUUUGAAUUCCCUUGUCACCAAUGUGGAAAUCAAGCACCCUGUUCGUGAGUUUGUUUCUCUAGUUGAUGAAUGUGAGUCUCAAUUUGGAAGUGAAAGUGAGAGUGAGUCAUAUUUUGUUGAGAAACUAUGUGACAUGUUGUUCAGGGUGUGUGCUGAUAACAGAAUGUUUAGAGAGGCUAUUUGGGUGUUUGAUUAUGUUAUGUCAAAGGGGUUGGCGAUAGAGGGUAGGUCUUGCUUUGUGCUUUUGCUUGCUUUGAAGAGAUGUAAAGAGGUGGAGUUCUGUGUGAGAUUCUUUCAUCGGAUGGUGGAAUGUGGCCGCGUUGAUAUCGGAGUUCAGUCCUUGACUCUUGUGGUUGAUGUGUUGUGUAGGAGAGGAGAGAUCGAUAGGGGUAAGAAGUUGAUGAAGGAGAUGGCUGAGAGAGGCAUUGUGAGGCCGACUGUUUUUACUUAUAAUACAUUGUUGAAUGCUUGUGUUGUGAGGAAAGAUCGAAAGGGGGUCGAGGAGAUACUGGGGUUGAUGGAGAGUGAGGGAGUGCUGGCUUGUUUGACGACGUACACUAUUUUGAUUGAGUGGUAUGCGAGUUCCGGGAGAAUUGGGGAGGCUGAAAAGGUGUUUGAGGAAAUGCGUGAGAGGAACAUGCAGAUGGAUGUUUAUGUGUACACGUCGAUGAUAAGUUGGAAUUGUAGGGCGGGAAAUGUUAGAAGGGCGUUGGCUUUGUUUGAUGAGAUGAUUUGGAAAGGCAUUGUUCCAAAUACUCAUACUUACGGGGCGAUGAUUAGCGGAAUGUGCAAGGCGGGGCAAAUGGAGGCUGCAGAAAUCUUGUUGGAAGAGAUGCAGACUAAGGGGCUUGAUCUGAAUGUGGUGAUAUUUAACACGAUGAUGGAUGGUUAUUGUAAGAGAGGGAUGAUGGAUGAAGCUUUCAGGCUGCAAGUUAUCAUGGAAAGGAAGGGAUUUGAAGCCGAUGUGUUUACAUACAGCACUCUUGCUAGUGGGCUAUGUAAAUUGCACAGGUAUGAAGAAGCCAAGAGGACCCUAAAUUUGAUGGUGGAGAAAGGAGUAACUCCGAACGUUGUUACUUGCACUACUUUAAUUGAGAUAUAUUGUAAGGAAGGAAACCUUGCAGAAGCUGAGAGGAUCUUAGGGAAUAUGGAUAAAGAGAGAAUGGUGCCUAAUAUUGUUACAUAUAAUACUCUAAUAGAUGCAUAUAGCAAGAAAGAAAAAAUAAAGCAAGCUCAUGUGUUAAAAUCUGAAAUGAUUGGGAAGGGGAUAGUGCCAGAUGUAUUUACAUACACAUCACUGAUACAUGGGGAAUGUAUAGUUAACAGGGUAGACGAGGCUCUGAAGCUUUUCAGUGAAAUGUUGGUAAAGGGCAUAAGAGGAAGCGUAAAGACAUAUACAGCUAUUAUUUAUGGUUUAUCCAAGGAAGGGAGAGCAGAUGAAGCUUUUAAGUUUUAUGAUGAGAUGAUGAGAAUGGGUCUAGCACCUGAUGAUAGAGUUUUUGCUGCACUUGUUGGUAGUCUUCAUAAAGUCAGUUCUCAUGUUGCUGCGAAACAAAAUGAGUGGUGCACGGAAAAUAGACUCUUCUGAUGCCUCGAGCUGGCAAACUCUAGUUUGUCAAUUUCAGGUGUGGAGGUGGCUCAUACAUUAUGAUUUUGUUCUUGAAGCCUGAAUGAAAAAAAAAAAAAAAAUCUUCCACAACACAGUACCAAAUUAGAGCUCUGAAACUGUUACAUUGUACAAAUAUUCUUGUGUUGGGUAAUACGUACAAACCUCCUUCCUAUAUCUGUUGAUGAAUUAUACAUACCCUAUGAUGGUGAUUAGAGACUUUGCUGGAGUAUUUCACAGAAAUGGGAGUUGGUCAGAUUUGUUCAAAGAACUAACGAGAGUCCUUCGUGAUGAAUUCCUUUCCUCCAAUAAACAAUCAGAUGUUCGACGGAGACUUUCAAUAAAGCUAUCAUACACAGCUACACCCCAGUUAUAUUUGUCAAUCAUUCCUGGAUCAUCUACUAACUUAACCAAUCCCUAUGAAACAAUACAACUUGUGUUUGGAAAAUACAGCUCAUUUAAUGCAAGAAGAAUGUACAACUUACAAAAUUCCUCUGCAUCAUCUGUACUACGAAGUUCAUCACCUUUGUGAACAAUAUCUGCUAACCGAACAACAGGUCCAUGAAACAUUUUUCUUGUGUUACAUUCAUUGUCUUCUUCUAAAUUAAUAUUUUGACCCACUGCCAACAGUUGUAAAGCUAAAUAGACAUCUAACAAAGUAAAACUUAUUGUUUUAUUCAAUGUCUUUUCAUUCCAUCUCGUACAUAAUGCAUAGAACAAUGGGAGAUAUAUAUUGAUUUUUCCCCAAGUUCAAACACAAACUAAACGUUGUUUCUGCAAUGUGACUCUUAUGCUUGGUUGUUGUAAAGUCCCAAUUUUGACAUGAUUUUCAUUGAUAAAUGCACUUCUUUUGGGAGGCUUGUGCUUCUAAUUCCUUAGUUUUAAUUCAUUUUCAGAUAUUCUUGUUAAUAAUAGAGUCUUUAGGAAAAUAUGUUAAUAUUGUGUUUUUAAGUAGUUAUUUCCGUUAGUGUCUUGAUUGGAUUCUUCUAGUAGCAUAGUUUAAUUGUUUUUAGUCUUAGUCUCAUGUGCAGCAUAGAAUUUCCUAGUUCUAUCUAAUAUUCUAGCUUUGAUUUAUGGUGUUGUAAUUUGCGAUGCAGUUAACUUCUUUAGGGAAGCCUAAGUCUUUGGGAGCCAGUGAAAAGAAUUGGGGACAACCUAGCUACACGUGACAAACAAUUGGCAGUGGAGGCUGAAGAAGCAAUAGGAUGGAUGAGCUGAAUUUGUCCAAGAAGCUAAGAAUUAAGAGGAGUCAGAUGCUGCCAAUCUGAGAAAAGGCCAUUUGGAAGAAGUUAAUUGGCCAGUUUGCUUCAUUAUAUGCUUAUAUGCAUUAGCUAGUUAUUUUAGAAGAGCUAAGAAGAUUACGUGCUGUUCAGGUUAUUCGUAAUCAUACUUAUGAAAGUUUAGUUAGUUAAUAGUAGUUAGUUUACUUGCAUUUUCCAGCCAUGAAUUGUUUAGGAGUUGAGUGGCCUAUAAGAGGGCUGAUACGUAACACCAACGACAACUAUCGCCUCAUUAGACCACACUGGUUCCAUUCACAACGACUGAACCAUUUUUUCACAUUCUCUCUACACAUUUUUACAGAGCCUGAACAGACACUUUUCUCUUUUCUCUGCUUGGAUUCAAGAUUCACGCACCUUCAAGCCUGGUUUCAGUGACUUUUACCAUUCUGUGAAGUUUAAAUUCUCUGUAAUUGAUUUUCAUUCAAUGCAAUUUUUACAUUUCAGCCAGUUUUAAUUCUCUAUAAUUGAUUUUCAUUCAAUGUAAUUCUUACAUUUCAGCCAUUACUCUCAAUGCUUCUACUUCAAUUUCUUGCUUCUGAUGUUAGUUUCGAAUUCAAAUUACUUUUACAAGCUUUAUCUCUCAGAUUGACCUAUUAAAUUGACCUUGUAUUUACAUUUUCUGCUGUCACUGGUUCAUGCGUUCGUUCAUGUUCACUUACGUUUUUAUGUUUCCAGUUGGUAUUUUCAGUGCUUUUAUUUCGUUUCACUCUCUCUUCAUGAUAGGAACUUAUUUUCAAUGAUAAUUUCUAGAUUCAAUCAUUGUUUUACAGUUUUCACAAUUUGACAGUUCAGUUAGUUUAGUUAGUUAAUUCUGUUAAGUGUUAAUCUAGGCUUUAGAAUGUGAUUUUUAUAUUCUGUGUUUUAAUCUCAAUUUUAAUCAUUGAUUCUAUGUUUCUUGCACAUUUAAAACAAGCUUGCAUUGCUAAUUUUGUUACUGGAUUCAGAUUUCCAUUUUUUGCUUGCUCUUAAGAACUUAGGUUUUCUAGAUUUGGCAAAAAUUGGGAAUAUGAAUUCAGGCUUAUGAUUUUCUGAAAUUGAUUCUUCGAAUUGUUAAUUAGCAUUGCUAUAGAUGGAUUUAGAUGUUAAAAUAAUGAAUUCUCUAACUGCAUUUCGUUUUAGCUAGUUAAGUACUCAUUUUACUUUUGCUGUCAAAAUUCCGAUGCAUUAGUUUAGUGUCUUUUGCUGCAAAAUCUUUGUUUACAUAGUGACUUCAUGAUUCCAUUGCAUUUAACCAAUUUUGUAUACAUUUCAUGCAUAUUUUCAUUGAAAUAGACGUGUUCCAGCUAUUAAUUUUGCUUUUUACAAAGUUUCACUUCUUUCAUGCAUUUUAACAAACACUUUGAAACUUAGUUCUAGAGUGUGAAUUUGGGUAUCUAGAGUGUUUAGUCAGUUAUGCAUUUGCAUUCAAUUUAGUUUUAUGAUUUUAUUUAUGUCUCAUCAUUCUCAUCUUGAUUAGAUAAUUUUCGUCAUCAUUUCAUAUUAUAAAUUCUGGUACAGCAUUCUUACAUUUUCAUUCACCAUUAGUCUUAAAUUUGUUCAUGCACCAGUUUUAGCAUAGAUUGCAUUGUAUAUAAUUUUCCUCCAUAGUUUUAUUAAUUUUUCAUGGUCAACAAAACAACAAACAAGCUACUAAAAACUGAGUUUCCUGGUAUUGACACUUAGGUUGUUCCUAUGUUACAUUUUAGGAGGAAUUUAUAUCGACUAAAGCUUAAUGUGGCUAAAGGCUUUAUGAGUUGUCAUUUUCUUGAUCAAGAUUAAGCUAUAUCUUCAUCAGUAGUUUGCUUAAUCUUGAUCCCAACAUCAUUACAAAACUGCUAAAUUUCUUUAUUUUGAGUAUAAUAGGCCUUCCAAAUAUCAAAUCCACUUGAAUGCAAAAAUCCAACUCUGUAGAGUAUAUCCUCGGUAUCGAUGCUGAAAUCCUAUUGUCCCACCUGAAAUUUUUAAUAAUUUCAAAGUGAGUAAAGAGAAGAAAUGUUUGUGAAGAAUACUGAAAGCAUUUUCUUAGUUUGCUUCUGCUAACUCUCUUGUAUACUUUUAGUGAGAAGAAGAAGAAUUAAGGCUUUUCCAUCUCUAGUUUGAAGGAAAGCUAUAGUAUUUUUCCUCUUUGCCAACUAUCUCACUUGAGAAUGGCAAUGUUAUAUGGAUUUCUUUCCUAUUUUUCAAGAGAAAUGAUUGUUGGCAAUUAGUUUCUUUACUUUCAUAUAUUCUCUUACUCUAACAUUUUUUUUUAAAUAUCUCUUUUGUCGUUUAUGAUUUAUAUCUUUUGUCAUUUUUGUGUUUUUUAGCAGGUAAUCUGGUGAAGUACUAUGCAGUUAAUGGUAGAAGCAACAAAUGGCAGGGAAUGCUUUAAUAGAUUCAUCAAAUGGUCUUAACAUUCGAGAUUAAUCGAAGAUUGAAGCAAGAAAACAACUUUUUGGAUUCAAGGAUAUGGAAGUGAAAAAAAAAAUUAAUUCUAGAUUAAUCAAUCCAGAAGAAAAAUAAUAAUUUUGAAUUAUGCAGUUUUUCGAAUUGAAGAAUUUCAACAUAAAAAAUUUACUAUAAAAUAUAUUUUUAGAUUGUAAAAUUUAAGAGUGAAAAAUAUAAUUUUAAAAUUUUAAAAUACAAAAGUAAAAAUAAUAAUUUCAAAUUGCUUAUGGUAUAUGCCCCUUUUAUCAUCAAGUCAAUUUUGACCGAUAUAUUGUGUCAUUUAUGGUUCAUGCUAGCUUUUUGAAUUGCAUAAUUUGAUAUUGAACAACUUAAUUUUGAAUUAUGCAAUUUAAAAUGUAUUUUUAGAUUCCAAAAUUUCGUGAAAAAAAAUAAUUUCAAAAUUUUGAUGUCAUAUUUCAUUUCUAUAAGUAAACUUUGAUUGUCGUUGGUGGUUCAUGCCACUUAUUCUUAUCAUAGUGUUGUUAUCACUAAUUUAACAAAAAUUACUACAUUAACUAAAUUUUAAAAAGGUAAGACUAAAUUAAAAGUAUUUAAAAUAAUGAAACUAAACUGAAAA
This 17668-nucleotide long non-coding RNA is filed under the name Vigna radiata. RNAcentral's name for it is "long non-coding RNA (VRAD_LNC007972)". The record is from RNAcentral. Lineage: Eukaryota; Viridiplantae; Streptophyta; Magnoliopsida; Fabales; Fabaceae.